UGGGGAAUAUUGGACAAUGGGCGAAAGCCUGAUCCAGCCAUGCCGCGUGUGUGAAGAAGGUCUUCGGAUUGUAAAGCACUUUAAGUUGGGAGGAAGGGCAGUUACCUAAUACGUAUCUGUUUUGACGUUACCGACAGAAUAAGCACCGGCUAACUCUGUGCCAGCAGCCGCGGUAAUACAGAGGGUGCAAGCGUUAAUCGGAAUUACUGGGCGUAAAGCGCGCGUAGGUGGUUUGUUAAGUUGGAUGUGAAAUCCCCGGGCUCAACCUGGGAACUGCAUUCAAAACUGACUGACUAGAGUAUGGUAGAGGGUGGUGGAAUUUCCUGUGUAGCGGUGAAAUGCGUAGAUAUAGGAAGGAACACCAGUGGCGAAGGCGACCACCUGGACUAAUACUGACACUGAGGUGCGAAAGCGUGGGGAGCAAACAGGAUUAGAUACCCGAGUAGUCCCUGAGCGGGCUGGCAAGGCGCAU
Molecule: ribosomal RNA, 472 nt
Filed under: uncultured bacterium
Lineage: Bacteria
Description: bacterial SSU rRNA
Rfam family: Bacterial small subunit ribosomal RNA
Source: RNAcentral